ACAGNNMUGUGAUGCCCUUAGAUGUUCUGGGCCGCACGCGCGCUACACUGACAGAGCCAACGAGUUCUUCACCUUGACCGAAAGGUCUGGGUAAUCUUGUUAAACUCUGUCGUGCUGGGGAUAAAGCAUUGCAAUUAUUGCUUUUCAACGAGGAAUGCCUAGUAAGCGCGUGUCAUCAGCAUGCGUUGAUUACGUCCCUGACCUUUGUACACACCGCCCGUCGCUACUACCGAUUGAAUGGCUCAGUGAGGCGUUUGGACUGGCUCGGGGAGGUUGGCAACGACCACCCCAAGCCGGAAAGUUCUCCAAACUCGGUCAUUUAGAGGAAGUAAAAGUCGUAACAAGGUCUCCGUAGGUGAACCUGCGGAGGGAUCAUUA
Molecule: ribosomal RNA, 378 nt
Filed under: Alternaria infectoria
Lineage: Eukaryota; Fungi; Ascomycota; Dothideomycetes; Pleosporales; Pleosporaceae
Description: SSU rRNA
Rfam family: Eukaryotic small subunit ribosomal RNA
Source: RNAcentral